UGGUGGAGUGAUUUGUCUGGUUAAUUCCGUUAACGAACGAGACCUCGACCUGCUAAAUAGUUCGGCGAAGCUUUCGGGCUUCGUACGUGACUUCUUAGAGGGACUAUUGGUGUGUAGCCAGUGGAAGUUCGAGGCAAUAACA
RNAcentral lists this ribosomal RNA (142 nucleotides) under uncultured eukaryote. RNAcentral's name for it is "partial 18S ribosomal RNA". It matches the Rfam family "Eukaryotic small subunit ribosomal RNA", at positions 1299 to 1458 of the family's 1831-position model. The record is from RNAcentral.